Small nuclear RNA from Hyaena hyaena (striped hyena), 104 nucleotides. The record is from RefSeq and is a predicted model, not a curated record. Lineage: Eukaryota; Metazoa; Chordata; Mammalia; Carnivora; Hyaenidae.
CUGCUCACCUUCAGCACAUAUACUAAAGACUUGGAACGAUACAGAGAUUAGCAAGGCCCCCGCGCAGGGAUGACAUGCAGAUUCACGAACCGUUCAAUAUUAAA